AUUGAACGCUGGCGGCAUGCCUUACACAUGCAAGUCGAACGGCAGCACGGGAGCAAUCCUGGUGGCGAGUGGCGAACGGGUGAGUAAUAUAUCGGAACGUGCCCAGUCGUGGGGGAUAACGUAGCGAAAGCUACGCUAAUACCGCAUACGAUCUAUGGAUGAAAGCGGGGGAUCGCAAGACCUCGCGCGAUUGGAGCGGCCGAUAUCAGAUUAGGUAGUUGGUGAGGUAAAGGCUCACCAAGCCGACGAUCUGUAGCUGGUCUGAGAGGACGACCAGCCACACUGGGACUGAGACACGGCCCAGACUCCUACGGGAGGCAGCAGUGGGGAAUUUUGGACAAUGGGCGCAAGCCUGAUCCAGCAAUGCCGCGUGCAGGAUGAAGGCCUUGG
Molecule: ribosomal RNA, 390 nt
Filed under: uncultured bacterium
Lineage: Bacteria
Description: bacterial SSU rRNA
Rfam family: Bacterial small subunit ribosomal RNA
Source: RNAcentral